UAUAUCAAACAGCUGGGCAAAUAUGCCGAUA
RNAcentral lists this small RNA (31 nucleotides) under Bombyx mori (domestic silkworm). RNAcentral's name for it is "piRNA piR-bmo-1920697". Lineage: Eukaryota; Metazoa; Arthropoda; Insecta; Lepidoptera; Bombycidae. The record is from RNAcentral.